This 90-nucleotide microRNA precursor is filed under the name Canis lupus dingo (dingo). RNAcentral's name for it is "mir-8799 microRNA precursor family". It matches the Rfam family "mir-8799 microRNA precursor family". Lineage: Eukaryota; Metazoa; Chordata; Mammalia; Carnivora; Canidae. The record is from Rfam by way of RNAcentral.
CGGGGGAGGCCGGAUCCUGGGCUGUGUCCCGGCGCCCUGUGCUCCUGGGGCCUGCGCUGUUGGAUCCGCGCUCCCGCCCCGCAGCCCCCU